AGUAACCAGCUGUGACUGAGAGGAGUGACCAUUACUCUAGGCAAGUCUGUGAAAUCAACAUUUAGAUGGUCAGAACAGAUCCAGAUGGCCACUGUUACUCUGUUCUUCGCCUGACUUGGCCACCUUGCAGAUGCCUUUUAGAUCAGUGCAGAUCACUCCCACGAUUGGCUAAACAACAGCUCUCAAGGACACUUCCUAUUAAAGGAGAGAAGAAACACAGGGAGCUUUGAGUCAGCUAAGGUGUCCUGAAGAAGUAGGAGCUGUUCCAAGAACAGAAGGAAUGCAUGGGCAUCUGCGGUUGUGUUUAUUGAUCAGGACCCUGAGAUCAUGACCUGAGGGGAAGGCAGAUGCUUAACUGACUGAGCCACGCAGGCGCCCUUGCCACCUUUCUAAUUCAGACCUUCAUCAUUCCCUACCCCUUCUGGCGUCCUUAAGAAGCAGUCAGAUGCAGGGACGCCUGGUCAGAUGGACCCUGGCACUCUUCCCAACACCCUUUCCACAUUACAGCCUGCGUGUGUUGGCUUAUCCGUGACUACUGUUUGAUUCACCUUCCCUGUCAUUCAAGGUAAGUCAGAGAGUUUCUCUCUGAUAACAGCAUGUCUUUUUCUCACCUGCUAAAGUCUCAGUCCAUAACCACACCUUUCUCCAGGAUGGCUCACUGUCUUCCUGGUUUAAGCUGCCUGUGUGUUCAUCUUACCUCUAUGGCUGGAGGAACCUCUGUUCCCCCAAACUCACGUCUCCAUGCGUCAGGACCAACACUGGAAGAUUCAAGUGUUUGUUUUCCUCUUCAGGUAACAAGUUGCAAAAGAAGCAAUUUGACCAAAUUCCCCACUUAAUCAGUUGGCUAGAUCAAGAUAUAGGUCUUGCUCAAAUAAAAGCCAAAGCUGGAAAAAUAUUUGUGACUCAGAAAUGGGAAAAAUUGGAUUGUUCUGGCUCAGGCCAUGUUCUGCUCACCCAGCCUGUUUUCCUGGUGGCCUCCCUGCUUCUGAGCUCUCUGCUAGUCAUAAGGGACACGAGACUGUACACUGCCCUUGUCUCAUACGGAAUGGGAUAGUCAGUUCCAACGGACUGAAUGUUUUCAAAUGAAACUUGUAUUUCUAGCAGCCAUUGGUAGUAAAUGUCAGCUCCCUUAGAACUAUUUGAGGACUCCAAGAAAGUCUUUUAAAAUUUUUCCGUGGCUGCUUCCUUCAGAUUCCAUGCUAGUUUCUUAAAACCCCACUUAUGAGUAGCAAUACUUUCCUUCAGACACUGACCACAAAAUGGAGGGUGUGAGAAGAAAACUAUGAAUCCUUCC
Molecule: long non-coding RNA, 1294 nt
Organism: Mustela lutreola (European mink)
Lineage: Eukaryota; Metazoa; Chordata; Mammalia; Carnivora; Mustelidae
Exons: 4
Source: RefSeq, a predicted model, not a curated record